AGAUUGGUUGUUGCGAAAAGUGGAAACUGACUGUAAGUUCUUCCAAGAGCCGCGAAAAGAAGAUCUCGCCCUACACCGAUGGUAGGCAUGGUGUUGUUCUGGUCGUCGAGAUAGGUGCUUUCAGAAUUCCAAUUUUGUGAGAAGCUGUAACUUCGCCAUGCUUUUGUUUGCCGUUAGUUUCCUUGUCGGCCCAUGAUAAAAAGACCAGUAUUUAUUAUAAGCCCAAUCCUCAGGAAAAAAAAAGAUUUUUCUUUUAUUUUCUUUUUUUUGUUGAGCAAAAGACGGAGGAUGCAAACCUAACCAAAACUUGCAAAUUUACCUUGGACCAAAUUUAGGAGAGACUUUGUUUUCUGAUUUUUGUUAGUUAGGGGCAUUUUAGGUUUUUUGAUGUGGUGUCAAAUUUUUAGAUAUGGGUAUUUUAGGUUUUUACAGGGCACAUUGGUUUCUUAUAGAUAUAUAGAUUGUAUGUACAGAACUUAUAUACAAAUUGAUAAUUAUAAGAUAAAUCUAUUGUAAAUUGAGAAUGAAAUUUGAACAAUAAACAAUGAAAAAUUGAAAUUUGUAACAAGAGAGAACUAAUCCAUAUUUAGGGUUCAUAUGAAUAUUAGGGUUUGGAUGAAAAAUUGAAAUUGGAAUCAGAAUCCANNNNNNNNNNNNNNNNNNNNNNNNAGGGUUUCGCUCGCAGAAGAAGGGAGGGUGAAGGUAUGAUGCGUGAAAAGAGAAAGAGGAAAAGGGUUUUAGUGAAAAGAGGGAUAAGGAUUUUCGCAUAGAAGAGAACACUGGGAAGAUCUACUAGUUUUUGUUAUAUUUUUAUUAUUUUAUAUUUAACUAUAGGUUAACACAUUUG
RNAcentral lists this long non-coding RNA (847 nucleotides) under Trifolium pratense (red clover). RNAcentral describes it as "long non-coding RNA (TPRA_LNC003974)". The record is from RNAcentral. Lineage: Eukaryota; Viridiplantae; Streptophyta; Magnoliopsida; Fabales; Fabaceae.